Long non-coding RNA from Rana temporaria (common frog), 387 nucleotides. RefSeq lists it as uncharacterized. The record is from RefSeq and is a predicted model, not a curated record. The transcript is spliced from 2 exons. Lineage: Eukaryota; Metazoa; Chordata; Amphibia; Anura; Ranidae.
GUCAGGAGGAGGAGAUUUCUGUAACUCUCUGUAUGUGUGUAUAAAAGCUCUGUCGAAAAAUAUAGCAAUUUGCAAUCUCUAAUACAGCAUAUAUCGUGUCUGUGUUAUAAAUUGACCGACCGGUGUGGGGGUUAAAAUAUCCAACUGUCCAAGGUCCAGCCUAGGCAACAGAACCAGAACCGAACCUAACAGAACUGGUACCAGAAGUGGGGUACUGAUUGACCAGAUCCAACUCACCCCUUUAUACCUGAGAUGAGGUAUUGGUUAAGCAAUUGGCCGUGAGGAGAAAGACAGGCCCCAUUUACCAAGGUCCAUAUACGGUGGAAAAGGUCCCUUGAAGAUAAAGACCCCAGAAGCCCCGAUGGCUCCCCCCUUGGAGCGAGGGCU